GUCUCGUCAGAGUGAGGGAGAGCGUAAGAGAGGGAGCGAGAGCCAGAUAGAGUAGGAUAGAAAUGCAGGGCGCGAGACCGCGCGACGCUUUCAGUCACCGCCCGAUCCUCGGCGCGCACGGUUUCGAAGUGGGUGUUUCUCUAUCGUAGAAAUAGAUUGGUGAUUUAAAUGGAAGUUCAUCGAGAGACAAGAAUCGUGUGAUCGGUAUUGAGUGCACGCGUCGGACAAAAGUCAAAUGACGCGAUCGUACUGAAAUUGAAAAAAUCAGCGAUCGAUGACCGAGUGCGCGGAUAUAAUUACGAUAUCGAAAUUUCGAUGUGAGAUUAACUUAUAAAUGGUGCAAUGAGAAUCGCAAGAACGCUGCGAUUAAAUUUCGUUAUUAUGCACAGGUGAAAACGUGGUCAUCCGGACGCAGAAGGAAUCAGGACUAUUGUAAAUGUGAAUAAUCUUGGAAUAAAAAUUUUACGAAAGUUCGUAAUCUUUUUCCUACUUUCAUUUCAGUCGUUUUUAAUCGAGACGAUCGAUUCGUCGAAAGACUACAUCGAACAUGUAGUCGCGAAGCGGCGUUUCAACGGCAAGAAACUAAAUCAGAAGUCACGCGGGUGUGUUCAGAAUUAAAUGGUGCGACAGAAAUGACUUUUUUCCAGACAGUGAUUUAUAAUUAUCUAGAAAUCUUUAGUGCAUCCACAGAUGUGUAAUGUGAACACACGAACAAAUAACUUCGACUUUGUCCGCGGAUUUGUCGCGGCGAAAUGAAGGACUCUGAACAUCUCUGCCAGAGUUAGGUGCAGCUUGGGACUGACGACAAAUGAAUAAUUCGACACGUGCCGUCUGGGCGCUCGAGAGGCUUUACUCAUUUUCUUUGAGCCACCCGGCAUCAGGUCGAUUCUCGUCGCGCGAGAUUUAUGAGACCUCACACCGCGAACUCGGAUAUUUCGAGAACGUUUUCUCGAACGUAAAUUGAAAUAUUAACUUACGGCCUUAUCAUCACAACCUCUUUCGACAUUAUG
This is a long non-coding RNA of Atta colombica, 1010 nucleotides long. RefSeq lists it as uncharacterized. The record is from RefSeq and is a predicted model, not a curated record. Lineage: Eukaryota; Metazoa; Arthropoda; Insecta; Hymenoptera; Formicidae. The transcript has 3 exons.